RNAcentral lists this long non-coding RNA (1684 nucleotides) under Homo sapiens (human). Its description in RNAcentral is "HSALNT0397833". The record is from RNAcentral. Lineage: Eukaryota; Metazoa; Chordata; Mammalia; Primates; Hominidae.
AAAAAUACAAAAAUUAGCCAGGUGUGGUGGCGCACGCCUGUAAUCCCAGCUACUCAGGAGGCUGAGGCAAGAGAAUUGCUUGAACCCAGGAGACAGAGGUUGCAGUGAGCUGAGAUCGUGCUACUGCACCCCAGCCUGGGCAAUACAGCAAGACUCCAUCUCAAAAAAAAAAAAAAAAAAAAAAAAAAAGCACUACCCCCAGCUAAUUGUAUGGUUAAAUUCGGGUAAUUUAGAAGGCAUGUAAAGUGUUCCAUACUAUAGAAAAAUGUAAAGUUUUAAAAUUAUUUAUCCAGUGGUUGCAAAAUUGAAAUCAAAAGGGGAUUAAGGGAAGAAAACAGAUAGAUACACAAAUAAUAUAGGCAUUCAUUCUGUUAAUAUUGAGUAAUUACUGUUUGUCAGACACUGUUUUAGGUAUGAGGAAAUGACAGUGAGCAAUACAAAGGCCACAUUCUCAUGGAGUAAAAUUCCAGAGGUGGAGACAUGUAAUUAAUACUUAAAUAUAAAACAGUAGAUUUUCUAAACGCAGAAAACGGAAGAGUAACAAGAAACUAAAUCAAGGAGCAUUAUAUAGCCUAGACUGCAGAGACUCAAUAUAAUAAAGUUGGCGAUUCUUCCUAAUUAUCAAAUUUACUGCAAUUCCAGCCAAAAUGUUUCAGUGGUUUUUUUUGUUUGUUGUUUUUGUUUUUGUUUUGCCCUUUAGCUUCACAGGUUUGUUCUGAAAUUUAUGAGGUAUAAAUUCUUAAGAGCAGCAAGAAAAAUUUCGAAUCUAUUUGUAGAAACUGCAUAUGAUGAUGGUUCAUACCAGUAGAGAGAAAGAUUGGAUUUGGGGGUAUUACUAGUAGUAAGGGGAUUCACUAGUAGUAAGGGAAAUGCAAAAUAAAAUCACAUUGAACUAGUUCAAAAUCAUCACAUUGGCAAAAGCAUUAGAGUGCCAAUUACUGGAAAGAUGUGGAGCAAUAGGAACACUCAUACGGUGCUAUAGGAAGUAGUUGUGUUUAGCAUAAUUUGGCAAUGUCUAGUAAAGUUGAAGAUGUGAAUAAUCUUUGACCCAGCAAUUCCAUGUUUAAACCUCUACAUAGUCUCUCCUCGUGUUUCAAGGAGAUACAUAUGAUGGUCCAUUGCAGAACUGUGAGAAUGAGAAGUUGAAAGCAAUCUAACCAUUAGGUUAAAUACAAGAUAGAAUGCAAACUAAAAUGAAUAACUAGAGAUAUUUCUGUCAACAUGGGUAAACCUCAAAAAUAGUAUUAAUGAAAUUGAACUACAGACUAUUUUAUAUAAUACAGUAUAACGUACAAUUUCAAAACAUGCAAAUUAGUGUUAUGUAUUUUUGUCAUGGCUAAAUACUAUAUAAAAAGGAUCUAAAAGAAUUAAUAAAAUAAUCAUCAGAUUCAGAACAGUGGUGACCUGCAGGGAGAAAGACAACUGAGAUUGGGGAAAGGAUGCAAAUGAAAAUACCUUUAAUUAUUCAUUUCUUUUAAAAAUAAGCAAAUACUGUAUAGCCAAUUCUUAAAAUUUGAUAAAGCUGGCUGUGAGUAUAUGAGUCAGUUCUUACUCUCUGUAUCUUUCUGUAUAAACUAUUUCAUAAUGCAAAAAAAUAAAGAAUAUUUAAAUGAUGUUUGCUUCUAUCAGUUCUUUUUUUUUUUUUCUUUUUUGAGAUGGAGGCUCACUCUGUCGCCCAGGCUGU